GUGCCAGCAGCCGCGGUAAUACCGGCAGCCCAAGUGAUGGCCGAUCUUAUUGGGCCUAAAGCGUCCGUAGCUGGCCGCGCAAGUCCAUCGGAAUAUCCACCCGCCCAACAGGUGGGCGUCCGGUGGAAACUGUGUGGCUUGGGACCGGAAGGCGCGACGGGUACGUCCGGGGUAGGAGUGAAAUCCCGUAAUCCUGGACGGACCGCCGAUGGCGAAAGCACGUCGUGAAGACGGAUCCGACAGUGAGGGACGAAAGCGAGGGUCUCGAACCGGAUUAGAUACCGAGUAGUCC
This 292-nucleotide ribosomal RNA is filed under the name uncultured bacterium. RNAcentral's name for it is "partial 16S ribosomal RNA". It matches the Rfam family "Archaeal small subunit ribosomal RNA", at positions 455 to 747 of the family's 1478-position model. The record is from RNAcentral.